Molecule: long non-coding RNA, 552 nt
Filed under: Equus caballus (horse)
Lineage: Eukaryota; Metazoa; Chordata; Mammalia; Perissodactyla; Equidae
Description: lncRNA (ENSECAG00000053192.1)
Source: RNAcentral
AACAAAUUCCACUCCUUGGAGUCUGAAUCUCAUCUGUAGUUUUAAAACUAACCAGCCUAAAAAUCCUCAUCAUAAGCCGUUUUAAAAUUAAGCAGCCUAAAAAUCCUCAUCAAAAGGACUCUCUGGGCUUUAUGGUCCUCAGGUUUGGCUCAUAAUAAACUCACCCCAAAUUUGAUUUAUAGAUUGGUUAUGGAUUCUUUGUGUGAACAGCUGGAUUAUUUUAGGGAAGUCUAUUCUCCCAUCCAUCAGCACAUAGGUGUUAGGUGUUUACAUCAGAAGAUGUUGCUUUUCAGGGGGUGACACCUUGGGUAUGCCUACAGUCACCCUGGGAUGAUGGUGGUUGUGACAAGUCUCUCUUUGCCUAUUUCCCUGUCCACACUCAGCUGUUAAAUCACUAUUUGUGGGCUGAUUGGUCUCUUGUUUUCAACAAUGCUCUAGGGUGUAAAUUGCUCCAGACAAAAAUCCAACCAAAUUUGGGUUCCAUUGAAGAGAUCCAUCAGAGAGAUCAGGCAAUCAUCAUUCCACGACCUUGAAGUUUACAAUGGCAAACUG